This 281-nucleotide unclassified non-coding RNA is filed under the name Basidiomycota sp. RNAcentral's name for it is "partial contains small subunit ribosomal RNA, internal transcribed spacer 1, and 5.8S ribosomal RNA". The stretch from base 1 to 47 matches the Rfam family "Eukaryotic small subunit ribosomal RNA", at positions 1785 to 1831 of the family's 1831-position model. Lineage: Eukaryota; Fungi; Basidiomycota. The record is from RNAcentral.
AAAGUCGUAACAAGGUUUCCGUAGGUGAACCUGCGGAAGGAUCAUUGUCGAAUAACAACCGGGGGCGUGCUCUGGUCCUGCACCGGUGGAGACACCGUGUUUGGCGGACCUUAGUACGUUUCUCAUCCACAUUCAAACCCCUGUGCACCUUUGGGAAAGGCAGGGUCGCAAGACCUUUGUCGGUCCCGUUUUUUACAAACUCUUAAGUUAUUUUGAAUGUCUGGCGGCAUAUGUCGUCCUAAAAUAAAUGACAACUUUCAACAACGGAUCUCUUGGCUCUC